Molecule: ribosomal RNA, 429 nt
Filed under: Chloroflexota bacterium
Lineage: Bacteria; Bacillati; Chloroflexota
Also listed under: 1 other name
Description: Chloroflexi bacterium partial 16S ribosomal RNA
Rfam family: Bacterial small subunit ribosomal RNA
Source: RNAcentral
UGGGGAACAUUGCACAAUGGGCGCAAGCCUGAUGCAGCCAUGCCGCGUGUAUGAAGAAGGCCUUCGGGUUGUAAAGUACUUUCAGCGGGGAGGAAGGGAGUAAAGUUAAUACCUUUGCUCAUUGACGUUACCCGCAGAAGAAGCACCGGCUAACUCCGUGCCAGCAGCCGCGGUAAUACGGAGGGUGCAAGCGUUAAUCGGAAUUACUGGGCGUAAAGCGCACGCAGGCGGUUUGUUAAGUCAGAUGUGAAAUCCCCGGGCUCAACCUGGGAACUGCAUCUGAUACUGGCAAGCUUGAGUCUCGUAGAGGGGGGUAGAAUUCCAGGUGUAGCGGUGAAAUGCGUAGAGAUCUGGAGGAAUACCGGUGGCGAAGGCGGCCCCCUGGACGAAGACUGACGCUCAGGUGCGAAAGCGUGGGGAGCAAACAGG